CUAUGCUUUCUGACCAACUUUUUUUUUUUUUUUUUUUUUUUUAUGAUUUGUCAUUGUUGAGAUGGGACAAAAGUCACAUUCAGACUACGUCACAUGUCGGUGGUGUUGAGAGGCAAGAGGGGAUCCCUCGUUCCCUCUUCCCAAAUUUCUUCUCCUUUGCUCUUCACCGUGCCCUGCAGUCUCUGUUCCACUGUCCUGUCCGUGCGUCCCGGGAAUAAAAGGAAUGACCAGUAAAACCCCAGCUGGCGGGGAGCAGGGCGGUAGUGUUUCCGUGUGUGUUGUCGGGCAGGGAGGGUGACGGUAGCUCCCAGAUCCUGGACAGGAAAUACCACAAGCUUUUGUCCCUUCCGGGCACUGGGCGCAUCCUGCUGCCCGCAGGGGUGACGAGGGACACGGACCCAGCGGAGCACUGCCCAGGCACAAAUGCCAUUCUUAGGAAGUAAGUGUCCUUCGUGCCAGGCCGGCCGGGCUGAGGCCUCUGCCAGAUGCUCGAAAUGGGACAUCAGUGGUGUCCUGGGAAUCUAAGGAUUGAAGCUAGACUCUGUUACCGUUGCAGCCCCACAGCGGACGAGAUGUUCACUGACCUCACGGCCACGGCGGACACGCAGAGGCUGUGUGAGAGCUUCUGGACGCACGGAGUGGCGGGCAGAAUGGGAGACCAGGUGCUGAGGGAAACGCAGCGUAAAACAGUGUUGGCGGAUCGCUCCACGCCUGCCCAAUAGACACCUGGGACCCCUGCUGCCCAGCACACGCGCAGAUCGUAACCCAGUGGGCUUUGUGGGAAGAGCAGCGUGGCAGCACAGAAGAGCCAGAGCCAGCAAACACGGUGACGCGCUCCGAGCCAGGACUCCCGAGGACGCCCAGGGUCCCAAGUGAGAUGGGGCCUCUAGAGUCAGAAGCAGGCUUACCAACCGUCAGAUGAGACGUGUUCCGCCCUCCCUCCUGACAGACUUGCGCAGCACUUAGAAGGCCAGGCUCGGGUGUGAAGUUCUCAGACUCUGGCCCCCAGGCCCGUCCUGUCCCGGCUCCUGGGUCACCUGGCAUCGGGAGCGACCUCGUGUGGCUGCGUGUGGGCAGCCCGGCUCCCACGUGCGGACUUGGUCCGCUGACCCAGGGCGCCUCGGCCACCCCUCACGUCCACGUCUGUGCCUACUGCUGGGAGAAUGGACCUCAGGAGGAGAGAUCCAGAACGCACAUCUGGAGAUGAGCUGGGGGCCGCUGGGGCAGGGACUCCUGGGAGGGUCCCAGGUCCCUGGAAGGAGGGCUGUGGACUUGAAGUGGGCAGGCUCCUUUGGGGACUCAUCAUCACGUGGGGAGGGACACAGCCAGAAGGGGCCGGGGGAACGGUCUUGCCUGAUCUGAGUAUGGCUUUGCUUUGAUCAUUUCCUUAGAACGUCUCCGAGGAAGAUAAAGGGGGAGAGUUUGGCAGGAUUGAAGAACCCAGGGCACUGCCAUAUAUCUGACAUUGGGGAAAACACACAAACAAAAACAACCCAGUGCCUGAAAGGAGGACGUGUUAAGACAGCAGACAUGGGGAAGCUGUUCAGGGAGAUCGUCCACUACCGGUGCCACCGGGGAGUACCGACACGGCAACAUGGGAUGAUGUACGUGCAGGUGUAAGACAGCUGUGGGAACAUCUGUGUACCCCAGGGGAGGCCUGGGAGCUGGUCUGCAGACGUGACGACAGCUGCCCACAGGGGGGUCUAGGAGAUUUCUUCCCCG
Molecule: long non-coding RNA, 1722 nt
Filed under: Felis catus (domestic cat)
Lineage: Eukaryota; Metazoa; Chordata; Mammalia; Carnivora; Felidae
Description: lncRNA (ENSFCAG00000050038.1)
Source: RNAcentral